GGUAAAGACUUAGUAGUUCUUAGAUGUGCUUCUAUCAUCAAUGAUGACCGCACAUGGACGUGCGGUCAAGCAAUCAGCGACACGAUGUCGCAUUGGUUGCGGUCACGUUUGGCUUUAAUGCCUACACUAGCACAUCUUAGAACUACUUAGC
This 151-nucleotide non-coding RNA is filed under the name uncultured Lachnospira sp. The record is from RNAcentral. Lineage: Bacteria; Bacillati; Bacillota; Clostridia; Lachnospirales; Lachnospiraceae.